Homo sapiens (human) is the source of this 731-nucleotide long non-coding RNA. RefSeq lists it as uncharacterized. The transcript has 2 exons. Lineage: Eukaryota; Metazoa; Chordata; Mammalia; Primates; Hominidae. The record is from RefSeq and is a predicted model, not a curated record.
GCAUAUAUAAAAUCACAUAAUACAUUAAAACAAUAAAUAAAUGCGUUUUCGUUCGCUUCCACUUCAGGAAAUGAUUUUGUUCAAGAUUUUCAUGUGUAAUUUGUCAUAAGGAUCUUUGCUACGACUACAGUCUCCUUAUCUUGCAUCUUCAGUUCUAAGUUAUUUGAGAUACAGCAAUUUUUUAAAUGUGUGAUGGAAGUUCUAUCCUAACCUACAGUAUCCAUUCACUAGCAGUGAUCUGAACAUCACUUACUGCAUGUAUGACCUAGAAAAGUCAUCUUUAAGAAGCUGGUUUAUCCAACAUCCAACACCUGCACCUCCGAGAGCACUUCCCCAGAAAGAAUUACUAAAUGGCCUCACUCUGUCAUCCAGGCUGGAGUGCCGUGGCGUCAUCUUGGCUCACUGCAAUCUCUGCCUCUCAGGUUCAAGCGAUUCUCACACCUCAGCCUCCCAAGUAGCUGGGAUUACAGGCAUAUACCACCACGUAUGGCUAACUUUUGUAUUUUUAGUAGAGACGAGUUUUCACCAUGUUGGCCAGGCUGGUCUCAAACUUCCGGCCUCAAAUAAUCCAUCCACUUCAGCCUCCCACAGUGCUGGGAUUACAGAUGUGAGCAACCGUGCCCAGCCCCUAAGUAAAUUCUUAUACUGACAACUGGAUAAUAUGAUUCAGAAUGUAAUCAAAAUAUUAGUGCAACUGAUGCAAAUGAAAUAAAUGUCCAAGAAGUCAGUGA